This 778-nucleotide long non-coding RNA is filed under the name Vitis vinifera (wine grape). Its description in RNAcentral is "long non-coding RNA (VVIN_LNC002103)". The record is from RNAcentral. Lineage: Eukaryota; Viridiplantae; Streptophyta; Magnoliopsida; Vitales; Vitaceae.
GCCAGCAUCAAAUUUCCAGCGUAAAUCUCCAGUUCCACGAGUAAAAUACUAUCCUGGGAGGGACACAGUAAAUUCUGUCUCCUAUCCAAAUAUGGGUGGGAAGAAAAAGAAGAGCCUAGUUGAGACUUAUUCUCAGCCAGAACCUGAGCCAGAGCCAGAGCCAGAGCCUGAACCUGAACCUGAACCAGAGCUUGAGCCUGAGACCACAUUCCCAGAUGGGGAUGUCUUUGAUGAGUUGUCAGAUGCUGAGUCUUCAGAUACUGAGGUUUACGAUGAUGAAGAUGCAGAAGAACAGGAAUCUGCUCAACAUAGGGAUUUGAGUGCAUUAAAACUACCAGAAUUGAGGGCCCUUGCAAAGUCCCGAGGCAUGAAAGGGUUCUCAAAGCUGAAGAAAGGCGAGCUCAUGGAGCUGUUAAUUGGGCGCUCAAUCUGAUCCAUGAAGCAUGAAAGAUGAAAAACACAGAGCCACUUUUGUGUGUUGAGAUAGUUUUGGGAUGUGCCUUUUUGUUUUUAGUAUAUCAACCAUUUCUAUUCCCGGUCUGUAAGAUUCAAUCCCUUGCAUGUUAUUCAAGGACUUGGAUCGUUUUGGAUUUUCAGAGAUAGUAGUGAAUCAAACUAGCCUUUUAACUUCUUAGCUCCUUUAUGAAUGCAUGGGAUUCCUUGAUGAGGUUUUGACAUAGUUCUUCUCUGAUUGUUCUCUCGUCUGCCAGUUUUACUGCUAUUCUGGUUUUGAUGUCAUAAUUUCCUGAAGUAAUGCUUAUAUUUUGAAUCUGCUGUC